UGAGGAAUAUUGGUCAAUGGGCGAGAGCCUGAACCAGCCAAGUAGCGUGCAGGAUGACGGCCCUAUGGGUUGUAAACUGCUUUUAUAUGGGAAUAAAGUGAGGGACGUGUCCCUUAUUGCAUGUACCAUAUGAAUAAGGACCGGCUAAUUCCGUGCCAGCAGCCGCGGUAAUACGGAAGGUCCAGGCGUUAUCCGGAUUUAUUGGGUUUAAAGGGAGCGUAGGCUGUUUGUUAAGCGUGUUGUGAAAUGUAAGAGCUCAACUUUUAGAUUGCAGCGCGAACUGGCAGACUUGAGUGCGCACAACGUAGGCGGAAUUCAUGGUGUAGCGGAGGAAUGCUUAGAUAUCAUGACGAACUCCGAUUGCGAAGGCAGCUUACGGGGGCGCAACUGACGCUAAAGCUCGAAGGUGCGGGUAUCGAACAGG
This 424-nucleotide ribosomal RNA is filed under the name Verrucomicrobiota bacterium. Its description in RNAcentral is "Verrucomicrobia bacterium partial 16S ribosomal RNA". It matches the Rfam family "Bacterial small subunit ribosomal RNA", at positions 355 to 776 of the family's 1533-position model. The record is from RNAcentral. Lineage: Bacteria; Pseudomonadati; Verrucomicrobiota.